This is a long non-coding RNA of Macaca fascicularis (crab-eating macaque), 1740 nucleotides long. The record is from Ensembl. Lineage: Eukaryota; Metazoa; Chordata; Mammalia; Primates; Cercopithecidae.
UUUUUUUCUCUGACCUCAUUCUUCCAUCACAAAACCUUUUCUAUGAAGGGCAAGAUAGUCAAUAUUUUGACUGGCUUUGUAGGUCAAAUGGCCUCUGUCAUAACUACUCAACUCUGCUAUUGUAGUGAAAAGGCAGUCUUAGACAAUACAUAAAUAAAUGGAUGUGAUUGUGUGACAGCGAAACUGUAUUUACAAAAGCAGGUGGCAAGUGAGAUCGGAGCCUGAGUUCAUAGUUUGCUGACCUCCGCUCUUAAAGGAAGGAGCGCUUGGGUUAUUAAUGUCUGCAUUUCAUCUCUUCUAUGGGACUGUGAGCUCUUUGAGGGCAAGGGCUCUAUCUUGGUCACUUCUGCAUCCCUUUGGAAACAGCAGAUGCCCAGUUAAAAGUUUUUGAAUUGAUGUUCCCCCUGCCCACCAUGGAGAACAACGCCAGUGGUGUGCAUGUCUCCCAGUACCUGCUCCAAGAGGCAUCCCAAAAGUGUUGCUGGGAGCCAGGCUGUGAUACAGGACAAAAGAAGGUGAGAGGCCUCCAUCCUCUUCCCUCCUUUUCUCCCCUACCCCAGUCACUCUAGAAAGUUCUCUGGGAAAUUCUCUGGGCCGAAUGAGUUAAUAUGAACAAACCUCCUAGGGCCGGUAAGAGGCAGAGCUGGCAGAGUCUUGACUUUGGGUCCACCAUCCUUUGGAGCCUUCCACGAUCAAUGACUAGGCAGUGCUGGUGAAAAUAGGUACAUACUGGAAUGGAAGGUUCUAGUGUCUGCCAACAUAUCUUCUUUCUUACAGUUCCUAAUGAUCCAUUUGUGCUUUUUCAGCCCUUCGUGUUAAGAGAACCUCAGGUUGGAGCCCAUAUCCUGACUGCCUCCUUCCCGCAUGGGCACCUAUGUGGCAUUAGGCUCCCUGGAUCUGAAUGGGUGACCUGGGGUGUGCUGGCCUAGGGGAUCACGAGCUAGUGGUCCAGCCCUGGCUCUGCUAACUGCCCUUGAGUGCCCUUGGCCAUGGCCUCUUUUCUCUGGGGCUCCCCCAGCUGGCCAAUGAGUUGGUGGCUUUCUCCUGUCAAUGCCCUUGGAGUCUUGGCACACGAACUGGGCACCCUUACUUCCCUGGAACAGGUAACGAAUCAAAAGUCCUUGAGGAGCAAAACAGUUUGUAGAGUUCUAUCUGGGCAGCUAAGCAGAUGGUUGCCCUGUGACAGAGGAAGUGCUUUGAUGGAGAUGUAGGCCAGCCAUUGUAUGAAGCCAGAAAGACCUGUGGGGGACAACUGCAAAGAAUAAAUGAUGUUGGAGAUGCAGUUUGAAGAGUGGCUGGCCCGGCAGGAGCAGGUGCCCUGAGGCAGGUAAGCCAAGCAGAGGAUGGUGCCGCUGAGGAACUGCGGGAUACUGGAGGGAACAGCACCUGUGUAAGCUGCAUUUGCUGGGGUUUGGUGAGGGAGGAGAUGAGGGAGGACAAGUGAAGUCACAUCCAAUAGUGUUUCAGUUCAGCAGAAGGUAGAGCUUUCUACCAGCAAGGGCUGUCUCAUCCAGAAAGCUAGGAAUCUUCCAGGGGCAAUGGGCACCACAGCCCAGAGGGCUGGGGCCAGAGGCCUCAACCAUUGCCGUCCUGUCUGGCGAGCCCUCCUCCUCGUGGAUUCCAGUGCUUCCCUGUUUUGAAGCCACGGACCCCAUGAUGGAACAGUCAGUCACACACACAGACGGCGUGAUGAUGAGGCCUGGGAGCCCCACUCUGCCCUUGGCAUGUCUCUCCUGGCCC